Gossypium raimondii (Peruvian cotton) is the source of this 124-nucleotide non-coding RNA. Lineage: Eukaryota; Viridiplantae; Streptophyta; Magnoliopsida; Malvales; Malvaceae. The record is from Rfam.
AAUAGGAGAAUGAUAAAUCAAAUUUUUGCUCUUGAUAUUCAACUUUUUCGUCCUGAAAAAAAUUCAAAUCCAACUAAAAAUGCUAAAAAUUAAGAAGAAAAAUCCGAUUUGUCAUUCUCCUAUU